CGGGAGUAACGCGUGGGGAACCGUGCCCUAUACAGGGGGAUAACAGCUGGAAACGGCUGCUAAUACCGCAUAAGCGCACAGAAUCGCAUGAUUCGGUGUGAAAAGCUCCGGCAGUAUAGGAUGGUCCCGCGUCUGAUUAGCUAGUUGGCAGGGUAACGGCCUACCAAGGCGACGAUCAGUAGCCGGCUUGAGAGAGUGGACGGCCACAUUGGGACUGAGACACGGCCCAA
RNAcentral lists this ribosomal RNA (230 nucleotides) under uncultured bacterium. RNAcentral describes it as "partial 16S ribosomal RNA". It matches the Rfam family "Bacterial small subunit ribosomal RNA", at positions 106 to 334 of the family's 1533-position model. The record is from RNAcentral.